RNAcentral lists this ribosomal RNA (532 nucleotides) under uncultured fungus. RNAcentral's name for it is "SSU rRNA". It matches the Rfam family "Eukaryotic small subunit ribosomal RNA", at positions 109 to 644 of the family's 1831-position model. Lineage: Eukaryota; Fungi. The record is from RNAcentral.
GUUAUCGUUUAUUUGAUAGUACCUUACUACUUGGAUAACCGUGGUAAUUCUAGAGCUAAUACAUGCUAAAAACCCCGACUUCGGAAGGGGUGUAUUUAUUAGAUAAAAAACCAAUGCCCUUCGGGGCUCCUUGGUGAUUCAUGAUAACUUAACGAAUCGCAUGGCCUUGUGCCGGCGAUGGUUCAUUCAAAUUUCUGCCCUAUCAACUUUCGAUGGUAGGAUAGUGGCCUACCAUGGUUUCAACGGGUAACGGGGAAUUAGGGUUCUAUUCCGGAGAGGGAGCCUGAGAAACGGCUACCACAUCCAAGGAAGGCAGCAGGCGCGCAAAUUACCCAAUCCCGACACGGGGAGGUAGUGACAAUAAAUACUGAUACAGGGCUCUUUUGGGUCUUGUAAUUGGAAUGAGUACAAUUUAAAUCCCUUAACGAGGAACAAUUGGAGGGCAAGUCUGGUGCCAGCAGCCGCGGUAAUUCCAGCUCCAAUAGCGUAUAUUAAAGUUGUUGCAGUUAAAAAGCUCGUAGUUGAACCUUGG